Molecule: microRNA precursor, 154 nt
Filed under: Schistosoma mansoni
Lineage: Eukaryota; Metazoa; Platyhelminthes; Trematoda; Strigeidida; Schistosomatidae
Description: microRNA sma-mir-8406 precursor
Source: miRBase by way of RNAcentral
UCACAAGUAUUAUGAGCACUAUAAAUAACAGUAGCAAAUGCAUCUAGAUGAAUGUUUUAGUAAAUAUUUUAGGAAAUGUUUCAAGGUAUUGUAACUAAAUUAUUGAUUUUCUUAAGAUUUAUUUUGUUGUUCUUAGUGUGUAAAAGUAACUAUU